RNAcentral lists this ribosomal RNA (408 nucleotides) under uncultured bacterium. RNAcentral's name for it is "bacterial SSU rRNA". It matches the Rfam family "Bacterial small subunit ribosomal RNA", at positions 355 to 775 of the family's 1533-position model. The record is from RNAcentral.
UGGGGAAUCUUGCGCAAUGGGCGGAAGCCUGACGCAGCGACGCCGCGUGCGGGAAGAAGGCCUUCGGGUUGUAAACCGCUUUCAGGGGGGAAGAAGCGAGAGUGACGGUACCUCCAGAAGAAGCCCCGGCCAACUACGUGCCAGCAGCCGCGGUAAUACGUAGGGGGCGAGCGUUGUCCGGAAUUAUUGGGCGUAAAGAGCUCGUAGGCGGUCCAUUGAGUCGGGUGUGAAAUCUCAGGGCUCAACCCUGAAAUCGCAUCUGAUACUGGUGGACUUGAGGCAGGUAGGGGAAGGUGGAAUUCCUGGUGUAGCGGUGAAAUGCGCAGAUAUCAGGAGGAACACCGGUGGCGAAGGCGGCCUUCUGGGCCUGUUCUGACGCUGAGGAGCGAAAGCGUGGGGAGCGAACAG